GAGCGGCGGACGGGUGAGUAACGCGUGGGAAUAUGCCCUUCUCUAAGGAAUAGCCUCUGGAAACGGAGAGUAAUACCUUAUACGCCCUUUGGGGGAAAGAUUUAUCGGAGAGGGAUUAGCCCGCGUUAGAUUAGGUAGUUGGUGGGGUAAUGGCCUACCAAGGCGACGAUCAGUAGCUGGUCUGAGAGGACGAUCAGCCACACUGGAACUGAGACACGGUCCAGACUCCUACGGGAGGCAGCAGUGGGGAAUUUUGGACAAUGGGGGCAACCCUGAUCCAACCAUUCCGCGUGAGUGAAGAAGGCCUUCGGGUUGUAAAGCUCUUUCGCAAGAGAAGAAAACUUGCUAUCUAAUAAAUAGUAAAUAUGACGGUAUCUUGACAAGAAGCACCGGCUAACUACGUGCCAGCAGCCGCGGUAAUACGUAGGGUGCAAGCGUUAAUCGGAAUUACUGGGCGUAAAGCGUGCGCAGGCAGUUUUAUAAGUCAGAUGUGAAAUCCCCGAGCUCAACUUGGGAACUGCGUUUGAAACUGUAAGACUAGAGUGUGUCAGAGGGGGGUAGAAUUCCAAGUGUAGCAGUGAAAUGCGUAGAGAUUUGGAGGAAUACCAAUUGCGAAGGCAGCUUUCUGGAUCAUUACUGACACUGAGGAACGAAAGCAUGGGUAGCGAAGAGGAUUAGAUACCCUCGUAGUCCAUGCCGUAAACGAUGUGUGUUAGACGUUGGAAAUUUAUUUUCAGUGUCGCAGGGAAACCGAUAAACACACCGCCUGGGGAGUACGACCGCAAGGUUAAAACUCAAAUGAAUUGACGGGGACCCGCACAAGUAGUGGAGCAUGUGGUUUAAUUCGAAGAUACGCGCAGAACCUUACCAACACUUGACAUGUUCGUCGCGACUCUAAGAGAUUAGAGUUUUCGGUUCGGCCGGACGAAACACAGGUGCUGCAUGGCUGUCGUCAGCUCGUGUCGUGAGAUGUUGGGUUAAGUCCCGCAACGAGCGCAACCCUCACUUUUAGUUGCCAUCAUUAAGUUGGGCACUCUGAAAGAACUGCCAGUGAUAAGCUGGAGGAAGGUGGGGAUGACGUCAAGUCCUCAUGGCCCUUACGUGUUGGGCUACACACGUGCUACAAUGGCAUCUACAACAGGAAGCAAAACGGCAACGUUAAGCAAAUCCCGAAAAGAUGCCUCAGUUCGGAUUGCACUCUGCAACUCGAGUGCAUGAAGCUGGAAUUACUAGUAAUCGUGGAUCAGCGUGCCACGGUGAAUGCGUUCCCGGGUCCUGUACACACCGCCCGUCACACCAUGGGAGUUGGUUCUACCUUAAGGCAAGGUUUUAAACCCUUGACCACGGUAUAGUCAGCGACUGGGGUGAAGUCGUAACAAGGUAACC
This 1386-nucleotide ribosomal RNA is filed under the name uncultured marine bacterium. RNAcentral describes it as "16S ribosomal RNA". It matches the Rfam family "Bacterial small subunit ribosomal RNA". The record is from RNAcentral.